Molecule: ribosomal RNA, 253 nt
Filed under: uncultured bacterium
Lineage: Bacteria
Description: partial 16S ribosomal RNA
Rfam family: Bacterial small subunit ribosomal RNA
Source: RNAcentral
UACAGAGGUCCCGAGCGUUGUUCGGAUUCAUUGGGCGUAAAGGGUGCGUAGGCGGCGAAGCAAGUCUGAUGUGAAAUCCCGGGGCUCAACCCCGGAACUGCAUUGGAUACUGCUUUGCUUGAGUACUGGAGAGGGAACUGGAAUUUACGGUGUAGCAGUGAAAUGCGUAGAGAUCGUAAGGAAGGCCAGUGGCGAAGGCGAGUUCCUGGACAGUUACUGACGCUGAGGCACGAAGGCCAGGGGAGCAAACGGG